CCAGGAGAGGGUCGGCAACACUACAUGGUGCAUGUGUGGGCACUGCUCCGCAAUGCAGACCACCGCGGAGUCUAUCUGCUGCCGUGAAGCAGAUUUGGAUUGUAGGUUAGGGGAGCUAUCCUGCAUUACCAUAUCCCGCACCUUCCAGAUGCUCUGUUGUGAGAGGGACGUCUUGGAAGUCUCCAUGCUAUCCCUGCGUGAAGUCUGUGCAGAGAGAUUGGAGCGGCCUAUAAACAGCAGUCUGUUCAGGUUAACUGCAUACAGACAGUUCACUUUAUGGGCCAGAGGACACCUUGGGAGGAGGAACAGGUUGCCUAUUCCAGCAUGUGUGGUGAACAUCAUCAGGACUGCUUUCCCAUCUCCAGAAUACCACGGCUUUGAAUAUUACGACGAUGAUGACUUUUAAUGUCGGUUAGUAUUGAAGUGACAUAUGGAUUGGUUUGGUUUUGUUCUGUCACAUCAUGCAAAUAAAAAUUGUAAUUUACAGAGACAAGUUAGUACUCACAUUUGUUUUAACAAUGAACAUUAAUUGUGGGGUAGUAGUAAUUUUGUCUCCUGUAAAGUGAUCAGAGUAACAAAGAAUUGACUUAUUUUUUUAUAGAAUAAAUGGAUAAUUUAAUAUCAUGUCAUCUAUCUCACUGCAGCAUUAAACAACUUAACUACUUAACUUAAGUAACAACUAACUUAACUUGCUCAGUUUGAUUCACUUAACAAGCAACCUGCAACUGUUUAGUGUCCUGUGUUUUUCAAAGCGGCUGAGCUUUCUUGCCACAGAUUGAGCCUUUUCAGGUUUCUCAACCCCUUUGUGCUGGGCCAGGGUGCGUGUUGUCUCUGUUUUGUGCUGUUGGAGUUCCGCACGUAUGGACGCAGCCUUGGCCCUGCGCAACACACCGGACACAAUGUCCUUCCUAAAGUGGCUCUGCUGACAUUGAGGUUGUGGUCCAGUGCAGCUAUCUUCAGCCUGGCCUCAAAGCUCUCCCUGAGAAACUUUUUCCUCUUGGUGGCGUAUUUUGUGUACAAGGAGUGUACACUCUCAAGCUGCCCUGUGCAUAAAGACGCUUUUGCAGAAGUGCCUUGUCAAGAACAAUCUUCUGCAGGUGUUAAAAGGCAGCAGAGUUUGGACAAAGCCAGGGCUGCAGGCUCUCCUCUUCUGGAGUAUAUGGAUGAUGCUCACAUCGGGUCAUCAUUUCACCACAUGUCCAGUUGUGGACAUUGGUGAUGUGGUGAAGGAUGGAUGUCCACUUCUCCUUGAGCCUGGCUGCGCUUCCUUCACAGGACCUUCUGCACAGACGGGUGGCAGUCGGUGGCAAUAACAGAGACCUGCACACCAUACUCUGCAAGCUGGACAGACACCUUUCCAGACCCUCAACCUCCAGCCAGUAGCUGCUCUUGACCUCUGUGACCAUGACAGUCUCCUGUGCCACCACCAAGUUUGAUUUGGUAUCCAGAACUGUGUUGAUCAAUCACAACAUGCUGAAUGGGUUGGGCAAAGACAAUGACCACAGAGGGAGAGCUGCAAGGUAGAGACUGUGGCAGACAACCUUCUCCCAGAUUGACCCAGCUGAACCCUCCAAUCCUCAUCCAUUGGUCUACACUGUUUCACAGAGUUGUGCCCAGAGUAGGAGUUGUCUCUGAUUUGUGCUGCUGGUGACUUAUAACUAUGGUUUCAUCAAAGUCAAAAUUGAGUCAGACUAUGUGUGAGUAAACGGUUUUGAUGCACACUUGUGAGCCAAUCACAGAAAAUUAUUAGUAUUAACCCAGACCAUGGCAUAAGAUGAUGUUAAUUCAAUGCAUAGAGAGAGUUAAUUGUUUUUUGGUGUUUAACAAACUGAAUGGUUCAUCACUCUGCCACCAUCAAGCUUGUAAGCCUGUUGCUGGGCAUGAUUUUGUAAAUA
Epinephelus lanceolatus (giant grouper) is the source of this 1895-nucleotide non-coding RNA. NCBI's taxonomy places the organism in Eukaryota, Metazoa, Chordata, Actinopteri, Perciformes, Serranidae. The record is from RefSeq and is a predicted model, not a curated record.